UAUUGUCUCUAGAUGGUCAGCGAUUGCAGCAAAAUUACCAGGAAGAACGGAUAAUGAGAUCAAGAACGUAUGGCACACUCACUUGAAGAAAAGACUCGAAGAUUACCAACCCGCUAAACCUAAGAGCAGCAAUAAGAAGCAGGGUACUAAACCUAAAUCUCCAUCCGCAGCGGCGAAACUGAACAGUACUAGAAGUGAAUCGGAGCUUGGAAAUUCAUCAAACCCUUCUUUUGAAAGCUUGUUCUCGGCAUCACCUUCGACAAGUGAUGAGGUUUCUUCGGUGACACUCAUGAGCCACGAAGGCCAUAACAACGAGGCUAAGAUGGAUAACAAAUUGGGAGACAUCAGUACUGCGGACCAAGAUUGUUUUUCUUUCGAAAAUUUUGGAGCAGAUAUCGACGAGAGCUUUUGGAACGAGGCGCUAUAUAGUCAAGAUGAACAUAAUUACGCGUCGAAUCUUGAAGUGACUGGUUUUGAUGAUGAGACACAACAAGAGUUUCAGCAGUUAGGCUCCGUUGGAAAUGAGAUGGUUUUCGACAGUGAGAUGGACUUCUGGUACGAUGUAUUCGUGAGAACUGGAGGGGAGCAAGAACUAUUAGCUGGGAUAUAAUUAAUUAAUUGUUCGACAGUGUCCGUAAAACUUUAGUUGUAUUAGUUUGGUUGUAGGUAAGUCGGUUGUAACGGUAAAGUUGUUACUUGUUAGUGUAAACUUUUUUGCAAAAACUUUUGUUGUAAUUAGAUGUGUUGUAGUUGUAAGUUAUAGGUCGUAGAUAUUUUAAAAUAAAAUAUGUAAUGUAUCUAUAAAAUAAUUAUAUUUAUCAAUUAAAAUCAUUUAUAUUAAUUAUUUUAUAUAUUAUCAAAGUUUACUGUUAUUUAAAAUGUGAUAUUUAAAUAAUAUUUAUGUUGUCAAAUUAUUUAUUUUAAAUAUAUUUUUGCAGUCACUAGAAAAAUCACACCCAUUGAUUCCCACAUGCAAUAUAAUAUAUGUACAUACUUUUUGACUUUUGUGCCUCUAACCAAAGAAAUCAUCUCUCUCUCACACAUCUCCUUCCGGGAGGCUUACCAAAUGCUUUUGAAUUCUCGCACAUGCCUUUUGACAAAUGCAGUAUAAAUACUCAAAACCAUAUAAGGCAGUAAUUCUCAGGCUCAUCAACAACAUUGAUCAUAUAGCUCAUAAGCAUUUGAUCACCACAAUCUCUCUCGAUCCUAUACUCAGAAUACAAAACUUCAAACUUUUCACCAGCAAUCAAAACACAUCAUCAGAAGAUGGGAAGAGCUCCAUGCUGCGAGAAAAUGGGGUUACAGAGAGGUCCAUGGACGCCUGAAGAGGAUCAAAUCUUGAUCUCUUUUAUUCACAAACAUGGUCAUAGUAACUGGCGAGCCCUCCCUAAGCAAGCUGGUAUGAACAAAUUAAAAGCUAUAUAUAUAUAUAUAUAUAUAUAUGUGUGGAGUCCAAUUUCCUAAAUCUCUUUAUAAAAUUUCUUAACACUGAUGAUAACUACUAAUUACAGGACUUUUGAGAUGUGGAAAAAGCUGUAGACUUAGGUGGAUGAACUAUUUAAAACCUGAUAUAAAAAGAGGCAAUUUCACCAAAGAAGAGGAGGAUGCUAUCAUUAGCUUGCACCAAGUCCUUGGCAAUAGGUAUAUUUACUUUACACACUUCUGUUUUUACAUAUGAAUUUAUACACGUAUGCCUAUAUACGGUUUACAUACAUCCAAAACACAUACGAUAAUGAUCAUCACAAGAAACAUGUCUUGGUCCACUAUUAUAUAAAAGUUAGUAUACAAUUAUCGGCUCUUUUGGAAAAUUUGUAUUAAAAGUUCUUUUUUUUCUUGGUAUUGUCUCUAGAUGGUCAGCGAUUGCAGCAAAAUUACCAGGAAGAACGGAUAAUGAGAUCAAGAACGUAUGGCACACUCACUUGAAGAAAAGACUCGAAGAUUACCAACCCGCUAAACCUAAGAGCAGCAAUAAGAAGCAGGGUACUAAACCUAAAUCUCCAUCCGCAGCGGCGAAACUGAACAGUACUAGAAGUGAAUCGGAGCUUGGAAAUUCAUCAAACCCUUCUUUUGAAAGCUUGUUCUCGGCAUCACCUUCGACAAGUGAUGAGGUUUCUUCUGUGACACUCAUGAGCCACGAAGGCCAUAACAACGAGGCUAAGAUGGAUAACAAAUUGGGAGACAUCAGUACUGCGGACCAAGAUUGUUUUUCUUUCGAAAAUUUUGGAGCAGAUAUCGACGAG
Molecule: long non-coding RNA, 2240 nt
Filed under: Brassica napus (rape)
Lineage: Eukaryota; Viridiplantae; Streptophyta; Magnoliopsida; Brassicales; Brassicaceae
Description: long non-coding RNA (BNAP_LNC002724)
Source: RNAcentral